Molecule: non-coding RNA, 476 nt
Organism: Pelobates cultripes (western spadefoot toad)
Lineage: Eukaryota; Metazoa; Chordata; Amphibia; Anura; Pelobatidae
Source: the annotation of a GenBank genome assembly
GGGGUUUAAACUCUCCUGACACUAACCCUUAUGGAACUCCAUAAACUCAAGGCAGAUUUUGCUUUUUUACAGGAAACCCACUUCCGCAAAGACCCGGCCCUCACACUGCAUAACCGUAAAUUCCCUAACUCAUAUUUUAGUAACUUCACAGAGGCCAAGACACGGGGAGUAGCAAUCUUAAUAGCGGCACAUGUCCCGUUCACAUUUGUGAAACAUGAAAACUUCGACCAUGGCAGAAUCGUGAUGGUUAAAGGACUUUUAGGUCACAAUAUGGUGACAUUUGUAAAUCUAUAUUUACCAAACAAACAACAAUGCAAAGCACUAGGGCGCUACAUACGUGCAAUAGACAAUUUUGCAGAAGGUAUUUUAAUCAUGGGGGUGACCUUAACAUCUCUCUUGAUUCAAUGCUAGACACCACCUCAGUUACAAGCACAUAUCAAGCAUCAGCACGACAACAGAUAUAUCACAUUCUUGAC